AAGCUGCACCUAGGAAAAAGGGAACAGCUGCUUCUGCUUGAGGGUAUUUCAGGAUUCAGAUUUGGAUUUUAUGUUAAAGUGUACUUCUAUUGGUAUUUUAAAUCAUUAAGGGAACAAUUGAAUUUUCUAGAACAUCAUUUGAAGCGUUUUUGCCUUUCGGAUCCUUAUUGAUGUUAAUUUUGUUUGGAUACAUGAGUUUGCAUUUUAAUUCUUACAGACAGGAGAUUGACGUAAGUUGGAAUGCUUAUUUUUAAUUGUGCGCUAAUCUUAUUUACUCUUAUGCGUAAGUUCAUGUCUUGACAUACUAAUCAUAGCUAACAUUUUAGAGGCCGACAGGUGCCUGUUUCUCUGAAAUUAUUAUUGAGUAAUCUGGACUAUCUUUUUCUGUUUUUUCUAUGGUUCAUUAUAUUUGAAGAAGUACCUUGCUUGCAUGUUUAACUCUGAACUUUUAUGUAUGCAUUUCCUGUGGGUCAUUAUUUUGCGAUAAUGAUAAUAGUUGUCUUGUUUGUGCUGAUUGUACUUCUGUAGACUUGAGAUGAUGAAAGCUCCUCGACUGUGAGAAUUGAUAGAAGUUUGGAGGGAGGGGGUGUGCGUAAGGUGAAGUGUUAUUUAGAUUUUACAAAUUGUCUCCUGUAUUCCAAAAUUGUCUCAAAAUGUUGUAGAAUAAUAAUGGGCAAGCCCAACCCUAAAGCCCAUAUACAACACUGCCAUUUUUCUCUUCAUAUAUAUAGUCACUCUUACGACACCAAACGCAUUUUUCUCAUUUCGAAGCUCAGCGGCCGAAACUAGGGUUUUUGCAACUUUGCAGCCAUGGUAACCAAUUAUUCUCUUUCUAUAUCUAUAUGUAUGUCCAGAUUAUAAUCCUGAUCUCGUCUAUGUUCAUUUGGCCUGAAUGCUUGCAUUUGUAUGUGUGUAGGGGAAGGGAACAGGGAGCUUUGGCAAGAGGAGAAACAAGACACACACGCUGUGUGUGAGGUGCGGCCGGCGAAGCUUCCACAUCCAGAAGAGCCGCUGCUCUGCCUGUGCCUAUCCUGCUGCCCGCAAGAGGACAUGUACGUGUUUCAUUUUACAAUUCUCAAAUUCGCAUAUAUCAAUCUGUUUUUAAAUUUUAAACUUUUUUGUUGAUUUAUUUUUUGUAUGAUACGAUAUUUCAGACAACUGGAGUGUGAAGGCCAUAAGGAGAAAGACUACUGGAACUGGACGCAUGAGGUAUCUCCGCCACGUGCCGCGCAGAUUCAAGACCAACUUCAGAGAAGGUAUAAGCUUGGUAGUUUGCGCUUUGAUUUUUGAAGUUCCGUAAUUUUGUGUCUGGUAAUUAAUUUGAAAUUGUGAUGGUUGGUUUAGGCACUCAAGCUGCACCUAGGAAAAAGGGAACAGCUGCUUCUGCUUGAGGGUAUUUCAGGAUUCAGAUUUGGAUCUUAUGUUAAAGUGUACUUCUAUUGGUAUUUUAAAUCAUUAAGGGAACAAUUGAAUUUUCUAGAACAUCAUUUGAAGCGUUUUUGCCUUUCGGAUCCUUAUUGAUGUUAAUUUUGUUUGGAUACAUGAGUUUGCAUUUUAAUUCUUACAGACAGGAGAUUGACGUAAGUUGGAAUGCUUAUUUUUAAUUGUGCGCUAAUCUUAUUUACUCUUAUGCGUAAGUUCAUGUCUUGACAUACUAAUCAUAGCUAACAUUUUAGAGGCCGACAGGUGCCUGUUUCUCUGAAAUUAUUAUUGAGUAAUCUGGACUAUCUUUUUCUGUUUUUUCUAUGGUUCAUUAUAUUUGAAGAAGUACCUUGCUUGCAUGUUUAACUCUGAACUUUUAUGUAUGCAUUUCCUGUGGGUCAUUAUUUUGCGAUAAUGAUAAUAGUUGUCUUGUUUGUGCUGAUUGUACUUCUGUAGACUUGAGAUGAUGAAAGCUCCUCGACUGUGAGAAUUGAUAGAAGUUUGGAGGGAGGGGGUGUGCGUAAGGUGAAGUGUUAUUUAGAUUUUACAAAUUGUCUCCUGUAUUCCAAAAUUGUCUCAAAAUGUUGUAGAAUAAUACCACAUAUACCGUAACUUUCUGAGUAUACCAUUACAGAUUUGUUGAUUAGAGGGUUAUGUGUGGGCUUUUGUCCUUUAAGAUCCUUAGAAAAGGUUCUUAACUGCCAAGUUCUGAAGUCCAUCUCCAUGUUUUAGGUCAUUUAACAUGAUAGCAAUUCAGGGCAUUAGAAUACGUAUUGAAGAUUUGCUCUGGCUACAUCUUGUGAUUCUGGGUCCUGGUGACCUUUUAAUGCUAAGAGAUGGGCGAAUGACUAUUUAGAUUUGGUAUGCUGACUAGCUAAAUAUACUUUAUUACCUGUGGAAGGGUUUUGUGAGCCUGUAAAUUCUUAUAAGUUGUUGUUGAAUGAUGAAGUUGGAGUUCUGCACAGCCUUGACAUACCUCUUUGAUGCAUAUACUCUUCGUAUGAAAGAUUUCAAGAGGGUUUUCUGUCUUUGGGGUUAGUUAUAUCAAGAUUUCAAUUCCGUUUGACUCAUCUUUUUGCUCUCAUGAAAUGACGGAGAUCUCUAACCCUCAACCACAUAAAACCCCAUGAAAUCUUUCAUAUGAAGAGUCUGCAUCAAUUCCAUGUGACCUGCUUUCUGCUGAGUAGUUUCUUAGAAAAAAUAAAACUAAAAAAUUCCAUCUUCUUGCAAGCUGAGGGAAAUAACUUAUGUUGACCAAUAGUUGUUAUGCCUACAUAUUCUGGGACAUAAACUCGUGUGCAAUUUUUUUCAUUUUAUUUCCUAGUUUUAGUGAGGGGCCAAUGGGACAAUAGUUGAGCUACUUAUGUGCUCGUCGUGUUGCUCUCUAUUUAACCGAAGUGGAUAAUAGUUUUAUGUGCAACUUGUGUUACUACCACGUAAAUGAAGUGGACUAGUGACAGGCAAGAGGUGACCUGGGAGUGGUGCAGGGAGGGCGCUGGACGGAAAGAGGCAAAGGUGGGGGAGAGAUGAGAGGGGUAAUAUUGGGCUGGAAAGAUGUAGUGUCUGUAAAGUGGGCUGGGUCGGGUCGUCCAGUGUAAUUUGGGGCAUAUACUGGAUCUGGGUUCUGUCAGACUGGGCUAGGCCAUCGGGGAUUUACAGAAUAUUACCCUCUGGGUUCUUGACUGGACAGAGCCUAUGGGGCAAGCCCAACCCUAAAGCCCAUAUACAACACUGCCAUUUUUCUCUUCAUAUAUAUAGUCAAUGGUGCAGGGAGGGCGCUGGACGGAAAGAGGCAAAGGUGGGGGAGAGAUGAGAGGGGUAAUAUUGGGCUGGAAAGAUGUAGUGUGUCACUCGCUAGCUCCUUUAUGUCAUUUUUCUUUUGAACAAAUUUUUAGAUGGGAUAGAGAAUGUUCAUUUUCUGCUGUGUCACUCACUGGCUCUAUGAUGUCAUUUUUCUUUUGAACAAAUUUUUAGAUGGGAUAGAGAAUGUUCAUUUUCUACUUUAUUAAAGGUUUAGACUCUUACGACACCAAACGCAUUUUUCUCAUUUCGAAGCUCAGCGGCCGAAACUAGGGUUUUUGCAACUUUGCAGCCAUGGUAACCAAUUAUUCUCUUUCUAUAUCUAUAUGUAUGUCCAGAUUAUAAUCCUGAUCUCGUCUAUGUUCAUUUGGCCUGAAUGCUUGCAUUUGUAUGUGUGUAGGGGAAGGGAACAGGGAGCUUUGGCAAGAGGAGAAACAAGACACACACGCUGUGUGUGAGGUGCGGCCGGCGAAGCUUCCACAUCCAGAAGAGCCGCUGCUCUGCCUGUGCCUAUCCUGCUGCCCGCAAGAGGACAUGUACGUGUUUCAUUUUACAAUUCUCAAAUUCGCAUAUAUCAAUCUGUUUUUAAAUUUUAAACUUUUUUGUUGAUUUAUUUUUUGUAUGAUACGAUAUUUCAGACAACUGGAGUGUGAAGGCCAUAAGGAGAAAGACUACUGGAACUGGACGCAUGAGGUAUCUCCGCCACGUGCCGCGCAGAUUCAAGACCAACUUCAGAGAAGGUAUAAGCUUGGUAGUUUGCGCUUUGAUUUUUGAAGUUCCGUAAUUUUGUGUCUGGUAAUUAAUUUGAAAUUGUGAUGGUUGGUUUAGGCACUCAAGCUGCACCUAGGAAAAAGGGAACAGCUGCUUCUGCUUGAGGGUAUUUCAGGAUUCAGAUUUGGAUCUUAUGUUAAAGUGUACUUCUAUUGGUAUUUUAAAUCAUUAAGGGAACAAUUGAAUUUUCUAGAACAUCGUUUGAAGCGUUUUUGCCUUUAUUUCUGUUUUUUCUAUGGUUCAUUAUAUUUGAAGAAGUACCUUGCUUGCAUGUUUAACUCUGAACUUUUAUGUAUGCAUUUCCUGUGGGUCAUUAUUUUGCGAUAAUGAUAAUAGUUGUCUUGUUUGUGCUGAUUGUACUUCUGUAGACUUGAGAUGAUGAAAGCUCCUCGACUGUGAGAAUUGAUAGAAGUUUGGAGGGAGGGGGUGUGCGUAAGGUGAAGUGUUAUUUAGAUUUUACAAAUUGUCUCCUGUAUUCCAAAAUUGUCUCAAAAUGUUGUAGAAUAAUACCACAUAUACCGUAACUUUCUGAGUAUACCAUUACAGAUUUGUUGAUUAGAGGGUUAUGUGUGGGCUUUUGUCCUUUAAGAUCCUUAGAAAAGGUUCUUAACUGCCAAGUUCUGAAGUCCAUCUCCAUGUUUUAGGUCAUUUAACACGAUAGCAAUUCAGGGCAUUAGAAUACGUAUUGAAGAUUUGCUCUGGCUACAUCUUGUGAUUCUGGGUCCUGGUGACCUUUUAAUGCUAAGAGAUGGGCGAAUGACUAUUUAGAUUUGGUAUGCUGACUGGCUAAAUAUACUUUAUUACCUGUGGAAGGGUUUUGUGAGCCUGUAAAUUCUUAUAAGUUGUUGUUGAAUGAUGAAGUUGGAGUUCUGCACAGCCUUGACAUACCUCUUUGAUGCAUAUACUCUUCGUAUGAAAGAUUUCAAGAGGGUUUUGUCUUUGGGGUUAGUUAUAUCAAGAUUUCAAUUCCGUUUGACUCAUCUUUUUGCUCUCAUGAAAUGACGGAGAUCUCUAACCCUCAACCACAUAAAACCCCAUGAAAUCUUUCAUAUGAAGAGUCUGCAUCAAUUCCAUGUGACCUGCUUUCUGCUGAGUAGUUUCUUAGAAAAAAUAAAACUAAAAAAUUCCAUCUUCUUGCAAGCUGAGGGAAAUAACUUAUGUUGACCAAUAGUUGUUAUGCCUACAUAUUCUGGGACAUAAACUCGUGUGCAAUUUUUUUCAUUUUAUUUCCUAGUUUUAGUGAGGGGCCAAUGGGACAAUAGUUGAGCUACUUAUGUGCUCGUCGUGUUGCUCUCUAUUUAACCGAAGUGGAUAAUAGUUUUAUGUGCAACUUGUGUUACUACCACGUAAAUGAAGUGGACUAGUGACAGGCAAGAGGUGACCUGGGAGUGGUGCAGGGAGGGCGCUGGACGGAAAGAGGCAAAGGUGGGGGAGAGAUGAGAGGGGUAAUAUUGGGCUGGAAAGAUGUAGUGUCACUCGCUAGCUCCUUUAUGUCAUUUUUCUUUUGAACAAAUUUUUAGAUGGGAUAGAGAAUGUUCAUUUUCUGCUGUGUCACUCACUGGCUCUAUGAUGUCAUUUUUCUUUUGAACAAAUUUUUAGAUGGGAUAGAGAAUGUUCAUUUUCUACUUUAUUAAAGGUUUAGACCACAUGCUACUCCAAUAAUGGUAUUUCGUUUUGAGGUAAUAAUGAGCACUUGACAAUUUGGAGGGUUAAAGAAUGUUUACUUUUGGUCGUGUAGGGGAAAAAAAUUAAAGAAAAAAGGAAAACAAUCUUGGUAGGAGCUAUGUGCUUGCCUGAUAAAAAUUUGUUAGAAUUUUAAUAAAUGUUGGAGAUCUGAUUAAUAGAAAAGUGAAAAUCAUUCUUUAGGUCGAAAUUCAUGGUAAAAUUACGCUAGAAUUUCAAUAGGUUGUAGACUUCAUUAACGCUUUUUAGUUCCAGAAAAAUCACUUUCCACACGCCCCGUCAGCCCCAAUUUCAUACAUUAUUUUACAUAUUAUGAGUUUUCAAUACAUUAUGUUUUCGUUGUGCCCAAAUGCUCCCCUUUUUAUUUUUUAUUCAUUGAUGUUGACAUCCGAUACGUUCGGACACCAGAUAUCUUGAGAUUAGAUCAAGGUCGCCAUAAUUAAUGGAAACAUAGUUUUGAUUAAAUCUCGGUUGGUUUAGGCACUCAAGCUGCACCUAGGAAAAAGGGAACAGCUGCUUCUGCUUGAGGGUAUUUCAGGAUUCAGAUUUGGAUCUUAUGUUAAAGUGUACUUCUAUUGGUAUUUUAAAUCAUUAAGGGAACAAUUGAAUUUUCUAGAACAUCGUUUGAAGCGUUUUUGCCUUUCGGAUCCUUAUUGAUGUUAAUUUUGUUUGGAUACAUGAGUUUGCAUUUUAAUUCUUACAGACAGGAGAUUGACACCAA
RNAcentral lists this long non-coding RNA (6397 nucleotides) under Olea europaea (common olive). RNAcentral describes it as "long non-coding RNA (OEUR_LNC000293)". Lineage: Eukaryota; Viridiplantae; Streptophyta; Magnoliopsida; Lamiales; Oleaceae. The record is from RNAcentral.